RNAcentral lists this ribosomal RNA (92 nucleotides) under Xenopus laevis (African clawed frog). Lineage: Eukaryota; Metazoa; Chordata; Amphibia; Anura; Pipidae. The record is from RNAcentral.
GCUUACGGCCACACUACCCUGAUGUGAUCCAAGGCUUGGCCUGGUUAGUAUCUGGAUGAGAGACCACCUGGGGAUACCAGGUGUUAUAGGCU